UUGCACCUCUAUUGAGUAAUG
This 21-nucleotide non-coding RNA is filed under the name Arabidopsis thaliana (thale cress). Lineage: Eukaryota; Viridiplantae; Streptophyta; Magnoliopsida; Brassicales; Brassicaceae. The record is from RNAcentral.